AUGGCAAUUGUCCAUACCUACGGGAAGCCUGACAUCUUCUUGACCAUGACCUGCAACCCUAACUGGGAAGAGAUAACGAAUGAGUUGUUUCCUGGUCAGACAGCGCAAGACCGACCUGAUCUUGUGGCUCGUAACGAGUGCAAGUGCAGAUACCCGCGGUCGUUCAAUGAAAACACGGCACAGGGCAAGGACUCAUACCCUGUUUAUCGUCGUCGAGAUAAUGGUCGGCAGGCUAAGGUCCGGGGUAAAAUGUUGGACAACAGAUGGGUUGUGCCGUAUAACCCUUACCUUCUGUGGAUGUUCAAUUGCCACAUCAACGUUGAGGUUUGCUCUAGCAUA
RNAcentral lists this ribosomal RNA (339 nucleotides) under Triticum aestivum (bread wheat). RNAcentral's name for it is "partial small subunit ribosomal RNA". The record is from RNAcentral. Lineage: Eukaryota; Viridiplantae; Streptophyta; Magnoliopsida; Poales; Poaceae.